Long non-coding RNA from Oncorhynchus tshawytscha (Chinook salmon), 540 nucleotides. Lineage: Eukaryota; Metazoa; Chordata; Actinopteri; Salmoniformes; Salmonidae. The record is from Ensembl.
AGGACAGUAGAGAGAGAGAGAACAACAGGAGGACAGUAGAGAGAGAGAGAACAACAGGAGGACAGUAGAGAGAGAGAACAACAGGAGGACAGUAGAGAGAGAGAGAACAACAGGAGGACAGUAGAGAGAGAGAGAGAACAACAGGACAGUAGAGAGAGAGAGAGAACAACAGGAGGACAGUAGAGAGAGAGAGAGAACAACAGGAGGACAGUAGAGAGAGAGAGAACAACAGGAGGACAGUAGAGAGAGAGAGAGAACAACAGGAGGACAGUAGAGAGAGAGAGAACAACAGGAGGACAGUAGAGAGAGAGAGAACAACAGGAGGACAGUAGAGAGAGAGAGAACAACAGGACAGUAGAGAGAGAGAACAACAGGACACAACAGGAGGACACUAGAGAGAGAGAGAGAACAACAGGAGGACAGUAGAGAGAGAGAACAACAGGAGGACAGUAGAGAGAGAGAACAACAGGAGGACAGUAGAGAGAGAGAACAACAGGAGGACAGUAGAGAGAGAGAGAGAACAACAGGAGGACAGUAGAG